This 72-nucleotide transfer RNA is filed under the name Patescibacteria group bacterium. Its description in RNAcentral is "tRNA-Glu". It matches the Rfam family "tRNA". Rfam says of the family: Transfer RNA (tRNA) molecules are approximately 80 nucleotides in length. Their secondary structure includes four short double-helical elements and three loops (D, anti-codon, and T loops). The record is from RNAcentral. RNAcentral also lists the same sequence under 1 other name.
GGCCCUAUCGUCUAGUGGUUAGGACGCCAGGUUUUCAUCCUGGCAACAGGGGUUCGAUUCCCCUUAGGGCUA